This 1147-nucleotide long non-coding RNA is filed under the name Heterocephalus glaber (naked mole-rat). RNAcentral's name for it is "lncRNA (ENSHGLG00100051486.1)". The record is from RNAcentral. Lineage: Eukaryota; Metazoa; Chordata; Mammalia; Rodentia; Bathyergidae.
GAGAUGAAAUUUUUAGUUAUAUGGUUAGCAUGUGUUUAACUUUAUAAGAAACUGAAAAGUGUUUUUGAAAAUUACUGUGCCAUGAGUACUCUAUGAGUGUUACUGUUUACAUUCUUGUCAUCUUUUACUACUGUGUCAGUAUUUUUUCAUGUUAGCUAUUUUAUUGGGCAUGCAGUGGUAUCUCAUUGUGGUUUAAAUUAUGUAAUUGUUUUAUGAUGUGAAGCACCUUUUCAUGUACUUACUUGCCAUUGCAUGUGCUGUUUUCUCUAGUUGCCAUCAUUUGCUGAAAUAGCUACUGGAAUUAUUUUGCUCAUUUUUAAUGUGGUUGUUUGACUUAUUGUUGAGGUCUCAUUAAGUUGCCCAGGCUGACUUAGAACUCAUGAUCCUCCCACCUGAGCUUCCCAAGUAGCUGGAACUACAGUUUUUCCACUCUGGGCCAGUGUGUCAUAGUAGGAAUAGGGAUGCUGAGAAGAAGGCAUUGCUUUGGCAAGGAGUGAACCCUGGCUACAAAACAGGACAUGGGAAAGGAGGACCCAGGACCACUCAAGCACUGGAUAUUUCAGACAGGGAGUUUUGGAAAAGUAUACAUAUGGAGGUUGAAGAAAUGGACACUGGCUCGCUGUCCAUGCCUGAAUACCCCUUGAACAAUUUCAUGAACUCCCAUGGGCACCCAUACUACAAUUUAUAGACUCUUGUUCUAAACUUCAAUGGUUUCUGAAUGGAUGAAGGACUGAGGAGCAAUGGGAGAUUGAAUAUUAUGAGGGGAGAUAAGCUGUUGUCCUAUGGAAGAGAGUGAGAGUCUCCUAGAUGUCUCUUAAAUGGAAAAUAAGAUGGAUGGUGUCUCAUUUGACGGCAUUAAAUAAAGAUGACAUCUGAAUUUUUUCAUUUGUCACGGAGAGAUUUUAGUAUAUGAAUUCUUCAAUUAACGUCUCUCUGUGUGUACACAAAUGCCUCUAUGUAUUUAUAUCUAUGCAUCUAUCUCACCAUUUAAUAGAAGGUAGUGGCUUUAUUGGUGAGCACAUGAAGCACUUUUAUGAUUAUUUUAAAUCAGUUCUCAUUUUCACAUCAUUUUUAAGAGGCUUUCAUUAAUGUUUCUCCUGCAUUAUAUAUUUUUUGGAAAAAUCUCAAUUGGUAUCACUGGAAGACC